This is a long non-coding RNA of Bombus pyrosoma, 1724 nucleotides long. RefSeq lists it as uncharacterized. The transcript is spliced from 4 exons. NCBI's taxonomy places the organism in Eukaryota, Metazoa, Arthropoda, Insecta, Hymenoptera, Apidae. The record is from RefSeq and is a predicted model, not a curated record.
UAAGGGGAUCUCAUAAUUAGCCGCGCUCGUACGGGCUCAUCCAAUAAAGGCGAAGCCCUCGCGCGACCGGCCGCAAAAGCCUACAAAACGUGGCUGUGCAAGAAGAAGAAGAAGUCCGGCCACGCGACGAUAUCGACGCGUGUGCGCGCUUCGCGGUACGCCUCGCACGUUCCAGUGAAGCAAAGAGAAACGAUCGAGGGAACCAGGUUUUAAAUAACUCCGUUUCUCCCUUUCUGCCUGCCAUCUUACCCCUCUGGUGUGCCACCUACGACCCCGAUACGUAGCAACUCUUGUCAGCUUGAGAGGGGCGGCUCUACUCUUCCUAACGCGACCGGAAUCCCAAGUCAACGAGAAAUUUAGUAAUUGCAACGAUGGCGUUACAUGCGAGCAGAUAGGGACACGGUUGUAAAUUCUUCAGCUGAUUUAGGAAACUUUCUGCUUGAUUCCGUACAUUUCUUAGUUAUAUACGCGACUCUUCUGCUAUUUUAUAGAUUAAAAUUUCGACUAACGCGGCUGGAAUUAACGAGACAACGGGAGAUUCGCUGUUUACAUCGAUGACAGUACGUAGGAGUAGAUGCAGCACUUGUAUCAUAUAUUAUACACAAUAUGAUUACAAAAACGUUAAAAAAGAUAUAAAUUUCGAAGAUGAGAGGUCUUCUAAAAUUUGCAAAGAAAUCUUCGUGAGUCGCUUCAACGACAUCACAAGGCUCACUUGACACAAGACAUGCCACUAUUCCGGAAGCAAUACAAGCUUCCACUAGUGUGACAAGACAACCGAACAUGAGCCAAUAUCGUGAAACUAAAAGACCUUCCAUUCAAGAUGGUCCCGGGGCUCUCCUACCAAUCGUCAGGACGAUCUCCGUGGAGGUUUUAGCUGUUAUGCCACUAUCAAUGCCAAUCAAUACGAUACGUACAAAUACUUUUCGUAAUCGCUAUACUUUGGUCUGUGCUGAAAUUCUCGUUACGAGAGACAUCAGCCAACAAGCGAAGCUCUUUCGCCCUCUAAUCAUACUCUGAAAAUAACCAUCGUAGAUGGACAUUGGACACUUUGUACAAUUAACUUAUCGAUAACUCGAUGACUGGGUGCUUUUACCAAUUUCCGGUUGGACCUGCUUGAUCGAGAAUGUUGGAAAGGCGUCCGGGUAUUUGCAGGAUGGAUACGCAAUCAACGACGUAUGCGCAUAGGUGAGCACACAAGUCGGACCAAUUGCAUUAUGGCAUGACGGUGCUCCAACUUUCCUGCAGUUCGUAAACUGUCUAAUUCAAGAGGAGAGACCGCCUGUUAAUUGCCAGACGAUAAUUAAGUUUGAAGGCAGGAGGACACCGGUCCUUCCGGCCAGCGUCCUUCGUUCCGGUUAAUUUUCUCGAUGAUCGACACGCUGCACGUAAUUUCAGUGCUUGCUUCGACGAUUCGACGAACGAAAAAGAUACGAUGAAAUUACGUGGUAAAAGGGCGCCGACAAAAGGAAAAGUGAACUGAUAAUUAUCGUGCUUCGAUUACGUUACGGCAACAGUGAAUUUCUCAUUAGCAUGUUAACGAGUGGUAUGUCCUUCCGAUGGGUUAAUUAGCUCGCGGUUUUUCACCGAAUUACUUGAAAUUACUCGAAUGUUUCUCCAUCUAAUAUAAAUUCCGACAGAAUUGCUUGCGUUCACAGCAAUUUUGUUGGACGGCGUACGAUAAAAUUGUCGAUGUAUGAUUUCUCUGAAAGUGUGUUAGCACUAAC